GUGAGGAAUAUUGGUCAAUGGAGGCAACUCUGAACCAGCCAUGCCGCGUGCAGGAAGACGGUCCUAUGGAUUGUAAACUGCUUUUAUUUAGGAAUAAACCCCCGGUCGUGCACCGGGGCUGAAUGUACUAAAAGAAUAAGCACCGGCUAACUCCGUGCCAGCAGCCGCGGUAAUACGGAGGGUGCAAGCGUUAUCCGGAAUCAUUGGGUUUAAAGGGUCCGCAGGCGGGUAAAUAAGUCAGAGGUGAAAUCCGGCAGCUCAACUGUCGCACUGCCUUUGAUACUGUUUAUCUUGAAUUUUAGUGGAGUGGGCGGAAUAUGUCAUGUAGCGGUGAAAUGCUUAGAUAUGACGUGGAACACCGAUAGCGAAGGCAGCUCACUAACUAUGAAUUGACGCUCAUGGACGAAAGCGUGGGUAGCAAACAGGAUUAGAAACCCUUGUAGUCC
This 446-nucleotide ribosomal RNA is filed under the name uncultured bacterium. Its description in RNAcentral is "partial 16S ribosomal RNA". It matches the Rfam family "Bacterial small subunit ribosomal RNA", at positions 354 to 796 of the family's 1533-position model. The record is from RNAcentral.